AGGGAAUAUUGGACAAUGGGGGCAACCCUGAUCCAGCCAUGCCGCGUGAGUGAAGAAGGCCCUCGGGUUGUAAAGCUCUUCUGUCCGGAAAGAAAAGCAUUCGGUGAAUACCCGGAUGUUCUGACGGUACCGGAAGAAUAAGCACCGGCUAACUUCGUGCCAGCAGCCGCGGUAGUACGAAGGGUGCAAGCGUUACUCGGAAUUACUGGGCGUAAAGCGUGCGUAGGUGGUUGUUUAAGUCUGAUGUGAAAGCCCUGGGCUCAACCUGGGAAUGGCAUUGGAAACUGGGCAGCUAGAGUGCGGUAGAGGGUAGUGGAAUUCCCGGUGUAGCAGUGAAAUGCGUAGAGAUCGGGAGGAACAUCUGUGGCGAAGGCGACUGCCUGGACCAGCACUGACACUGAGGCACGAAAGCGUGGGGAGCAAACA
This 426-nucleotide ribosomal RNA is filed under the name uncultured bacterium. RNAcentral describes it as "bacterial SSU rRNA". It matches the Rfam family "Bacterial small subunit ribosomal RNA", at positions 356 to 774 of the family's 1533-position model. The record is from RNAcentral.